Molecule: ribosomal RNA, 253 nt
Filed under: uncultured bacterium
Lineage: Bacteria
Description: partial 16S ribosomal RNA
Rfam family: Bacterial small subunit ribosomal RNA
Source: RNAcentral
UACGGGGGGAGCAAGCGUUGUUCGGAUUUACUGGGCGUAAAGAGCGCGUAGGCGGUCCGGUAAGUCGGUUGUGAAAACUGGGGGCUCAACCCUCAGAGGCCGACCGAUACUGUCGGGCUAGAGUCCGGAAGAGGCGAGUGGAAUUCCUGGUGUAGCGGUGAAAUGCGCAGAUAUCAGGAGGAACACCAAUGGCGAAGGCAGCUCGCUGGGACGGUACUGACGCUGAGGCGCGAAAGCGUGGGGAGCAAACAGG